This 1231-nucleotide ribosomal RNA is filed under the name Enterococcus durans. RNAcentral describes it as "bacterial SSU rRNA". It matches the Rfam family "Bacterial small subunit ribosomal RNA", at positions 38 to 1268 of the family's 1533-position model. The record is from RNAcentral. Lineage: Bacteria; Bacillati; Bacillota; Bacilli; Lactobacillales; Enterococcaceae.
AGGGGCAAGAACUAAUACAUGCAAGUCGUAACAAGGUAACCUCCACCGGAGCUUGCUCCACCGGAAAAAGAAGAGUGGCGAACGGGUGAGUAACACGUGGGUAACCUGCCCAUCAGAAGGGGAUAACACUUGGAAACAGGUGCUAAUACCGUAUAACAAUCAAAACCGCAUGGUUUUGAUUUGAAAGGCGCUUUCGGGUGUCGCUGAUGGAUGGACCCGCGGUGCAUUAGCUAGUUGGUGAGGUAACGGCUCACCAAGGCCACGAUGCAUAGCCGACCUGAGAGGGUGAUCGGCCACAUUGGGACUGAGACACGGCCCAAACUCCUACGGGAGGCAGCAGUAGGGAAUCUUCGGCAAUGGACGAAAGUCUGACCGAGCAACGCCGCGUGAGUGAAGAAGGUUUUCGGAUCGUAAAACUCUGUUGUUAGAGAAGAACAAGGAUGAGAGUAACUGUUCAUCCCUUGACGGUAUCUAACCAGAAAGCCACGGCUAACUACGUGCCAGCAGCCGCGGUAAUACGUAGGUGGCAAGCGUUGUCCGGAUUUAUUGGGCGUAAAGCGAGCGCAGGCGGUUUCUUAAGUCUGAUGUGAAAGCCCCCGGCUCAACCGGGGAGGGUCAUUGGAAACUGGGAGACUUGAGUGCAGAAGAGGAGAGUGGAAUUCCAUGUGUAGCGGUGAAAUGCGUAGAUAUAUGGAGGAACACCAGUGGCGAAGGCGGCUCUCUGGUCUGUAACUGACGCUGAGGCUCGAAAGCGUGGGGAGCAAACAGGAUUAGAUACCCUGGUAGUCCACGCCGUAAACGAUGAGUGCUAAGUGUUGGAGGGUUUCCGCCCUUCAGUGCUGCAGCUAACGCAUUAAGCACUCCGCCUGGGGAGUACGACCGCAAGGUUGAAACUCAAAGGAAUUGACGGGGGCCCGCACAAGCGGUGGAGCAUGGGGUUUAUUCGAAGCAACGCGAAGAACCUUACCAGGUCUUGACAUCCUUUGACACUCUAGAGAUAGGAGCUUCCCCUUCGGGGCAAAGUGACAGGUGGUGCAUGGUUGUCGUCAGCUCGUGUCGUGAGAUGUGGGUAGUCCCGCAACGAGCGCCACCCUAUUGUAGUGCAUCAUCAGUGGGCACUCUUAGCAGACUGGCGGUGACAACGAGAGUCGAUGACGUCAUCAUCAUGCCUUAUGACUGGCUACCACCGUGCUCAUGGGAAGUACACGGGGUUGCGAGUCGCGAGCUUAGC